UUCGUCUUGAGCUUCGAGAGCGGGCAGCCAUGCCGCUUUGUUAAUCGAGCUCAGAAGUUAUUCAGUGCUUGUUCUUUUUGAACAAUGGCAUCAUUUUUUCACAUUUUUUGACACCGAGAUUCGGUUUUUUUUUUCCAGUUUUAUUCAAUCCAUAUUCGUAUAUUUUCUCUCACCAAAAACCAUAUGGUCGAGAGAUUGAUAUGUUCACGUGGUAUUACAUAGCUCUACGUAAUAAAAUAUUCCAGUGAUAAUUCUGGCCACCAAAAUCAGUGGAGACAAGUAUAAUAGCUGUUACAUAAAGCAUCGUAAUAUUCGUUGCUACAUAAGGACAUAUUACAUUCUCAAAUCGAUGAGAAACGAUUCUCAAUCAAAAACAGUGUGGACUUAGAUGACACAAAUACAACAGAGGAUUUGGUUGACACAGAUACUGUGAAAAUGAUUCAAAUAUUACAAAUGAAGAA
Non-coding RNA from Linepithema humile (Argentine ant), 461 nucleotides. The record is from RefSeq and is a predicted model, not a curated record. Lineage: Eukaryota; Metazoa; Arthropoda; Insecta; Hymenoptera; Formicidae.